UAUGUAAUUUGGAAGUGGUUCUGUGUUUUUUGUAGGCUAGAACAAAUGAAUAUAUAUAUUUACAUUGUUUUGAACUAUUUUGGUUUUUAACUAUGAGAGAAGAUACAAAAUAGAAUGUGGAAACUAGGAAAACCUUAUGGCAUUGAAACGACAUUAAAAUCAUAUUUUGGAAAAUGUAUGUACCAGCUCUAGCCAUGAAAGGGCCUAGAGGUGAUGAUCCUUUAUUAACAAUGAGCCUACAUUCUACUGAGUCUUUGCUACUAAACACUGUUGUCCUCUAAAAUCAGGAAAAAUAGUUGAAACCAGGUCUGGGACAGGAAAAAUAAAUGUGGGCCUUGAAUUGCAUGAGAUAUACUAAAACAACAACAAACCCAACAACAAAACUAGUUGAAUUAUGUCAGAAUAAGGUAGGAGGCAGCUUAAAGAGGCUUCCACUGACCAAAUUUGAUGCAGUCUGUGUAUUAAAGUGAUUAAGGAUGGAAGUAAGACUGAUACAGUAAUAACUUUUUUUAAAGACAAGUAAAGGAGAAAGGACAGAAAAUCGAAUUUCAAAAGAAAUCACCAUUUUGCAACCCUGAUUUAGGCUACAAUCAUCAAUGAAUGCUAAAACCAUUGGGGAAUAAAAUAUUCACAUUGUCCCAAAAUAUUAUCCCAUAGCUUAUGGCUGAUAUUAUUUAUAAUGAGACAAAUUAUUUUUCAAGUGGAUAGGUCUAGUGGUCACUACCUUAACCAAGUGAUCAGAUUUAGCAUUAUCAACAGUGAACCCCAUAGAAUGUACCUUGUGAUGUGACACAGAAACUACACACCACUUAUAUAGUAUUCUUCCAAAAUGUUUUAACCAAAAUCUACUUGUGAAGAAACAAAUCAAACAGACUCCUAAUGGGGGAUAUUCUCUAACAGCUGGCUCUGACUUCCAAAUUUAAUGUCAUAAAAAGUAGGAAACUACUUUUGAUUAAAAGAUGCAAAGGAAAUAUAGCUAAAUAUGAUGCAUAAAUAUUGAUUGGAUUAUGGGUUUUUUAAAAACCAUAAAUACAUUUUUGGGACAACUAGGGAUAUUUAAUUAUAAGCCAUAUACUAAAUGACCAAAAAGAAGAUUAUGGUUUUUUUCCUACUCAAUGCAAUUAUCCAAUUUUGUCUUUUUUUUUCUCAUCUAUAAUACAUUGGGUUAAUAUUUUCCACCUUUGUCCUAUUCAACUGUUGGAUUCCUUCCUGGAUUAAAUAACUCAUUAAUCUCUAUUAGAU
RNAcentral lists this long non-coding RNA (1242 nucleotides) under Marmota monax (woodchuck). Lineage: Eukaryota; Metazoa; Chordata; Mammalia; Rodentia; Sciuridae. The record is from RNAcentral.